AGGGAUUGAACUGAGGUCCUUGCACUUACACAGCAGGCGUCGAAACCACUGAGCUAAAUCCCUGGCCCUGCAUCCUAUUUUUUAAGGAGCAUCCCCCAAGUGUUUGGACUUCACCCUGCCGAGCUGCGGGCCCUGUGCCCGGGAUGCCUGCUCCGUGGGUGUGUCCGGUCCAACUGGAAAAACCAGGCCUGGGAGACCAGGGCCUGGCGACUGCAGCAGGCCACAAGAAGAGGACAAGGCCUUGCAGGUGCAGUGGAAGGGAAGAAGCUGAUGCCAGCCAUCCCCAGCUCUUCCUCCUAAGCUCUUCCCCGUUGUUGCUCUGGGUGUCUUUCAUUUGCUGCUCUUGAAGAAGCGACCAGGCCCCAACUCCUCCCAGUAAACGGGGCUGAGCCAGCAGUGUCCUCGAGGAAGGGAGGCCGGGCUCCUCAUUUUGGCCGUGGGCUCCACCCAUCACCGCUUUGGGACCCGCAGGAGCAGGGACCCCAGGAGCAGGGACCUGACAGCGCACAGCGGCUUCUCCCUCCCUCCCCGCCUUAGACCCCGCUCCGUCCUCCCCCGGCCCCUAGCUGGGUCUCCUUUUCCUUUUGGCACCAUGACGGGUAUUUACUGCUGGUUUCUGCUCGAGCCUGGUGGGGCAGAAGCGGGGGCAGCCUGGCACCCUGCCCUCUCUGCCCUGUGCAGUGAGGGUGGCAGAGCUGGCACAGGCGUGGGGGCGCCCUGCACCCUUCCCCUGGUACUAAGCUAAGCUCCAGGCCAGGGGGUGCUCAGAGGCUUUGGGGUGUCUGCUUGGCAGCAGCCUCUGACCUUGCCUUCUAGGGACACGGGGUACCUGGGCCCCACUGCCACUGUCCCUAGCCAGUCCCAGCAACAGCUCAGGGAGUGGGUCCUAGGCCGGGGGGGCACUGACGGCCAGGUGCCGGGUGGUGAGCUCAGUCCCGGCAGCCUGAGGCCCAGCCCAGUGAGUCUGAUCCGCCACGUUUGAGAGAGGCAGGAAAGCGGGACUUCAGCUUGAGGGCCCCCAGUUUUCCACUGUGAGCCCCAGUGUUUUAAACAUGCCGAGUCUGGAAGGAAGUGUUCCACCUGGCGCAGCGGCUGCAGCCCACCUGAGGUCCCCUGGGGCUGAUCGGGUACCACCCCACCUGGACUUCUGGGCCCCAGUCCUAGAUUUAGGUCAAAGGACAACAGGACACAAAACCAGCUCCAUGUCACAACCCACACAGAGCACGGCAUGUCUCUUGGGUUCAAUUCCUUUCAUGUUCCAAGAUGGGGCUGUGAGUUUGUCAGCAGUUUCUUACAAGUCACCCUGUCUGUGAGACCUGCUGGAAAACGUCAUGUUCAAUCUGCCAUCUCAGAGCAACCACUGUGAGUGGUACCUCUUGCCGUUGUACAGUGCGAAACCUAUUCCGGGUUCCUGACUCUUGUUUUUUUGAGGAACCCCGAUGUUCAAACACUAAUUUUCACUUGGUUGUUUUUCUAGGAGAUCGCAGGUGGUUGCUUUUAAAAUUUUCUUUCUUUUGGCAGCACUGGGAUUGAACCCAGGGCCUGCACACAGAGCAACAUCUCCAGCCCUUUUUAAAAUGUCUUAUUUUUAAGGCAGGGUCCUGCUAAGUCACUAAGUUGCCCAGGCUGGCUUGGAACUUGCAGUCCUCCUGCCUCAGGCUCCCAGGGUGCCGAAGAUGAUUUCUGAAGGACACACAGGCAAAGGAGGAUGUAGCCCUUUUCCCUUUCUUCUCUACAGCAGAAUUCUUUACUGUUUUUACAGCCGACAGUUUGUCCCCAGGAAGAAAAGACUUUUAUGACCUGGAACAGAGCUGCUGCCACCUUCUUUAUGAGUUUUCUCCGGUUGUACUGACAAGUGACUAUCACGGCCGGGUUUCAUAGCCUUGCUCAGUAUCAAGGGCUCCCAGAGAGUUCCAGGUCCCCAGGACGCACCCUGGUUUGGGCCUCAGAACAGCAGGGGCGACCCUGCUGGGUGAGGAGGGCUCCCCUGCUCCUGGGGUGGUUAGGACUGGGGGUGGGUCACGCCCAGCAGGGGCUUUAAUUAAGGUGAGGGCCAGGGGGCUCGGGUUCAGCAGGCCCAGGAGUCCCUAGGGCGGCCUGGCAUCUGGCAGGGCGUCGCAUGGCAGCCAUGCGAGGAGCCUGCUCCAUCUCCCUUGCUCUUCCCAGAAAGCCACGAAUGCAUCGUGAUGGUCCCCUCACUGGACUCUCCUCACCCCCGACUCGGUUCCCAGCCCAGGAACUGGGUGGCACCGAAACCUCAGCAGAGGGGGCUUCUAGGGGUGUCCGUGAGGAGCUCUUGAGCUGCCCCCGGCUGUGGCUCCCAACGGUGCCCCCUUGCCUUCUCGGGGGUCUCGGGAAGUAACAGUGUCCCUCACAGAGACAGCCAGCUGUUUUGGAAUGAAAUUACAUCUGGCAGCAAAUACGUUUUAAUUUCCCUUGCUAAAUCCUGAGACAAACAAUGAAAGUUAAACUACUGGCAUGGGGACUAAUUUUAAUCAAUGCCCAAAGCAGAGAGAAGCAGGAGGGGUCUGCCGUGUGACUGAGAUGCAGACGGGCUCCCCUGGGCUCCCAUCAUGAUCAACGGCCUGCCCUGGGCACCUCGGCCACCUGCUCUGUCCCUGGCAGGUGACAGGGGACAGAGGCAGCCCCGAGGGUAAAUCCAUCCCAGCACCCGGGGAAGGAAGCCAGCACCCUCUGGGAUCUGCAAAGAUGCCCCUGCCCGGAGGCCAGACUGACCCUUGGGAUGGGCCUUGAGGCCCAUCCCAAGGCCCUGAUCCCAGAGCAGAGACAACAGCAGUAUGUGACCUUCACAUGAGAUCUCACACACCUUCUGCAGAACAGACCGCAGCAAAGGGGGGUUCGGGGGUGUGAAGACCCACUGUGUCUCCAGUCACCUGCAGGCUUAGAUUCCAGGGGCCCGUGACAGUCAGUUGUGAUGGUUGAUGUGCUUGGCUUGAUUGGCGUCUGGAUGGGUCAUGGGGUAUGCCCUUGAGGACUGUGUCUGGUCCCUUGCCCCUUCCUCUCUGGUGCUCUUCCCUUAUCUCUACUUCCUGGUCACCAUGAACUGAGCAGCUUUCCUCCACCACACCCUUCUGCCAGGAUGUUUCUGUCUGGGAACCAGCGACCAUGGACUGAAUCUCCUGAAACCAUGAGCCAAAUGAAUCACCUCCUUCUUCACACCGUGGGUGUCCCAUGUCUUGUCCCAGCCCUGACCCUGGGACAGAGAAGCCACCACUCAGCAUGCUCUGGCUCCCACGGGGGCCUCUCCUUGGCUCCUCUUACCCUUCCUGGCUUGGAGACUUUCCAGCCCAUGGCAGAUCCCGAAGGAGAAGAUGAUGACAUAGAUUCUGCCUGGCUGGGCGCUGUCAGGCUCCUGAGCCUUCUCACUGGACCAUCUGUGCUCCUCCCUAUAAAACUCAGUUUCAGCAAGAAGCCUAUUAGGAGGAUGCAGCCAGAAUCCCCCUUGCCCGGUGUCUCCUCUGAGUGACUUUCCGUCCACGGAGCCCACUCUGCUCUGUCAUCACCAUUCUCCCCAGCUGUGUAUUUGGAGUUCAGCCCAACCUCCCCUCCCACCACGAAGCCACACUGCCUGGUCUGUACCCCUAACUUUUUUUUUUUCCAAUACUGGGGAUUGAACCCAGGGUCUUUGCAUGGAGCUCCAUCCCCAGCCCUUAUAAUAUUUUACAAAUUUUGACACAGACCCUCUCUCAGCAGCUGGGUUUCCCAGGCUGGGCUCAAACUUGCAAUCCUCCUGUCUCAGCUUCCCUGAGAGCUGGGGUUACAGGUGUGUGCUUCUGAGCCUGCUACCUACCCUGGACUUGAUGGUACAACAGGUGCCAUGGUCCUGCCCUUCUGGAAAGCACGAAGACUGGAAGCAUUCGUGGCAGUGACUGCGCCUUAUGGGCCUACACCAAGCCAGCUUCCAUGCCUCACGGCCCUGACCUAGGUAGCUGAUCGUCCACAAUGCCCAGGAUGCGGCCCUCCAGAAGCUGUCCUCACGGAAGCCUUCAUGGUCUGAGCUAGCGGCCAACAGUCCACAGGGUGCAGAGAUCCGUGCCACACCAGGGAGCCUGCAGUGUUGUGGGACAUGCUGGCACUGGACAUCGUGAUGGCACUGUUAGUCCUGAAGGAGGAAGACUAGUGUCCCCUGAACAUGGCCAAGGAGAACAGACUCUACUGCAGCCUGGAAGGGGCUGGUGCUGGGGGGCUUGGUCAUGGCAGUCAGAGCUGAAGCCCACCAUCCCAUCCAUCUGCCUCUAGACGGUGUUUAGGAGGAAUGGGCCAGGUCACCUGAGCAGGAAGUCAGCGGCUUUGGUGCCCGGAUCUUGUGGCAGUGGGCACCAUUUUGGUUAUGCUUUGCCAUACCCAUGUGGGGCUGGGCCAGCGUGGGCCAGAAACUGAGGCUAUCAGAGGAGGCAAGUCCUGGGGGCUAUUAGCCGUGGCAACACUAGUGCCAGUUCUGACGUUUUGUGGGUGCUGGGCACUCUUCUGACCUAUAUGCCUGACCUGACAUCAUGCUCACUGCCUCCCUAUGAGGCUUUACAAGUAGAAAACUGUGCUGAGGUGUGUGGCUUGGUGGUAGAGCCCUUGCCUAGCAUGGGUGAGGCCUUGGGUUCGAUCUCCAGCACUGGAAAAAAGGGAAACUGAGGCAUAGAGAGGUUGAGCACCUUCUGUCCUCACCAGGUGCCUUGGGAAGUGGGACGUUUCACUAGAAUGAGACGGGCAAUUCUUAGAGAACAAAGGGAGAGUCAGGCUCCUCUGUCCCUGCCCAGGGCAGUCUCAGAUGAAGACAGCUGGAGUUCAGAGUACAAGGAGAACAACCCCAAAUCUUGUGAGGAGCUACAGGACAGCUGGUCUACCCUGGUCUGGCUGGGGGGGGUGGUCCCCAGGGAUGACUCUGACGCUCUGGGAAGUGUCUGUCCUCUCAGGGGACACCAGGGUGAAGGGCCCACUGGGCCUGAGCCUCACCAGCGAGCUUCACCAACCGGAGCUCUGCUGUGGACCCGGAGGCCAUAGGGAGCAAUUCGCAGAUGUAAGGAGACAUUGCCGCAGGCAGCAGAGCCUGCAGCCCCACCCAAAGGCACUCGGGCCCUUGCCUGGAAGCAGGAAGUAGGCCAGAAACUGUGCACAUGGGAGGGAGAGUCCCCAGCCUGCCCCUCCCCAGUACUGAACACAGGAAGUGUCCUGAGGGCAGAGCUAGGGACAAGCAGUGGACCCAUCAGGCCAGCAGUGCUAGGCGACCACAAAUUCUCCCCCAACUUUACAAGUGGAACUCGGAUUGCAAGGCACCUGAGUCCCCUCCAACAUUGGGAACCAGGGUGCUGGGGAUGAUGGGAAUUCUUGCCAGGCUUGGAGCCAGCCUGGAGGAAGAGAAUGACAUGUGGCCAGCAGGGGCAAGGGACAGGGAGUGGACAGGGUUUCCUCCUCCGUCACUGCUGCUCGCCAUGCCACCCCUGCAGCUGCUUCCCUCUGGGUUUGGAGCAGAGGGGCCUGGAGGACUUGGGGUCCCUGGAAGCAGAGGAGCCUCGUGUCAGGGUCUCUUCCCAGGCCCUGUGCCGGCUCCGCCCGUCCCUGCUUUGUGACGCAGCCUGGUGCCAGGCUGUCUCUGAAUGGGAAAUCUGUGUACCUGUCUCACAGGAGGCAGUGUAAACCUGGCGCGGUAUGGGUGCAGAGUUCAACAAAAGGGCAUUGUUAUUUUUACAGCGACCUGGGAGCCUUGGAGACAGCCCUAGGACCUGCCCCAACCACAAGAACAACAACCCAAGAACUGCUUCCCUGUUUGAACUGGGCUCCGCAUUCCCCAAGGAGCCUGCUGGGAACCCGGGGUUGGAUGGAGUCCUUGCCUUCCUUCCUCGCAGUAGUCGCAGACCCAGGGCGUGGCCAUCCUCUGGGGACGUGGCCCAAGGCCCUCAUGUCACUGCGGCUAGGAGCAACUCACUGUCCCCUGCCUUUUCAAGGGCCUCAGUCCCUUCUCUCCUUCUGACUGUGAGCACCGGUAGGAAUUGUGGAGCCAGGUAACAUCAAAACAAAGUGCAGAAUUAACUUCUUCAUCUUUCAAAUUUAAUAUUAAUAUUUAAUUUUGGUUUUUUGAGAGAGAGAGUCUCGCUAUGCAAUCCAGGCUGGCCUUGAACUCACUGUGUAACUCAUGCUGGCUUCGAACUCACAGCGAUCCUCGUGCCCCAGGAUAAUUUUUACUUUGGACAUAAGUUUUUUUUUUUCUUUUUUUGGUUCUGGGGAUUGAACUUGGGUCCUUGCGCUUGCGCAGCAGGUGGGGAAACCACUGAGCUAAAUCCUGGCCCCUGGACAUAAGUUUUAUGUUAGUCGUGUGGAGGUGUUUCGAGCAGACACAGGGCUUUUCUGGACAUUCCCACAGGAGUUUCUAAGCACAUCGAAAAAAUUUCCUCAGGGCACAUGCACGGGAGUGGAAUUUCUGCAUGAACCAUGCAUUUUCUUAACAUCACUGCAUGAUGCUGAAAAGCUCUUCGAGAUGGCCAGGGCUCCCUGUCCCUGGCCCCAGUGGGUCCUGUGUUGGCCAUUCAUAGCAUUUUAUUAUGACAAAAAUAAAUAUAACAUAAAACUUAAUACUUCAUGCUCCCCAUCAUCUUGAAGCCACGGGCUUGACAGAAGGGUGGAAUGGGCUUUUCAAGACUUAGCUACGGCCCCAGUGAGGGAUGACACCUUGCAAGCUGGGCCGCACACUCCUGAGGGCUGUGUGUGCCCUGAAUCGGGUCCAGCACAGGUGCUGUUUCUCCCAAAGCCAGCGUCCAGGGUCCAGGAUUCAAGGGGUAGGGAUGCAAGCGGCCCAACUCAGCACCCCAUGCAGUGACCUGCUGAUGGAAUUUCUGUUUCCUGUUCUCAAGGCUUUAUGCCUUGCUGGCCUAGGAAUCUUUGUAACAUGGGAAGGAAUGUUUCUGCCAAGAGACAGUGCCAAGAUCCAUUAAACCAGAAUGGAAGACAGCCGCCUGGGCACCUGGUCCCCUCCCAUUUCUGACUCAGCAGCAAAGCAGAGCAUGGCCACGCUGGCGGGGGACUCAUCCAGAUCACCUCGGGCAAGGGCCAGGGGCUGGAGAGUCCCCAGGGAGGGAGACCUGGGUCACGUCGCCAGGACCAGUGAGCUGCUCUGGAGGCAGAGGGCACUGCAAAGCAUUGUCCACUGGACACCGUGGCUUUAAGUGAUGGCCCAUCAAGGGGAGGCGUUAAGAUCACUCAAGGACUCUACCUCCUUGUGCACAAGAGGUGUGUGAAGUUUGGCAGAAUUUUAACCUGGUUAUUGUCCUUAGCUUGAGAUUAAGCAUGGCUCCGGGAGACCAGCUUGGGUAGACUGGAGAUGGCUUGUUUUACACAUCAUGUGGAUUGGCCUUGCCCGUGGGGUGCUGUUACUUCUGGAUGUGUCUGUGGGAAAGGGGGUCUGAGUGUGCACAGCGAGCCCCUAAGGGUUGGACCCGGCGCGGAGGGUGAGGAGACUAAGUUCGCCCUCGGCCUCUGCUCACGCUGCCCGAGACCUUCUGAUUCUCACCUCAGGCUGUCCUGGGAC
This 7534-nucleotide long non-coding RNA is filed under the name Heterocephalus glaber (naked mole-rat). Its description in RNAcentral is "lncRNA (ENSHGLG00000036158.1)". Lineage: Eukaryota; Metazoa; Chordata; Mammalia; Rodentia; Bathyergidae. The record is from RNAcentral.